GAUGAACGCUGGCGGCGUGCCUAAUACAUGCAAGUCGAGCGAAUGGAUUAAGAGCUUGCUCUUAUGAAGUUAGCGGCGGACGGGUGAGUAACACGUGGGUAACCAGCCCUUAAGACUGGGAUAACUCCGGGAAACCGGGGCUAAUACCGGAUAACAUUUUGAACCGCAUGGUUCGAAAUUGAAAGGCGGCUUCGGCUGUCACUUAUGGAUGGACCCGCGUCGCAUUAGCUAGUUGGUGAGGUAACGGCUCACCAAGGCAACGAUGCGUAGCCGACCUGAGAGGGUGAUCGGCCACACUGGGACUGAGACACGGCCCAGACUCCUACGGGAGGCAGCAGUAGGGAAUCUUCCGCAAUGGGCGAAAGUCUGACGGAGCAACGCCGCGUGAGUGAUGAAGGCUUUCGGGUCGUAAAACUCUGUUGUUAGGGAAGAACAAGUGCUAGUUGAAUAAGCUGGCACCUUGACGGUACCUAACCAGAAAGCCACGGCUAACUACGUGCCAGCCGCCGCGGUAA
This 515-nucleotide ribosomal RNA is filed under the name uncultured bacterium. RNAcentral describes it as "partial 16S ribosomal RNA". It matches the Rfam family "Bacterial small subunit ribosomal RNA", at positions 28 to 523 of the family's 1533-position model. The record is from RNAcentral.